UGAGUACGAGCUGCUACGGCAGCGAAGUGGGUGAUGUCAAGCUUCCAAGAAAAGCCCUAUACCCGUUAAGGCAUGACGGCCUGUACCCGAAACCGACACAGGUGGGGUGGUAGAGAAUACCGAGGGGCGCGAGAUAACUCUCUCUAAGGAACUCGGCAAAAUGGCCCCGUAACUCCGGGAGAAGGGGUGCCACCGCAAGGUGGUCGCAGUGAAGAGGCCCAGGCGACUGUUUACCAAAAACACAGGUCUCCGCUAAGUCGCAAGACGAUGUAUGGGGGCUGACGCCUGCCCAGUGCCGGAAGGUUAAGGAAGCUGGUCAGCGCAAGCGAAGCUAGCGACUGAAGCCCCGGUGAACGGCGGCCGUAACUAUAACGGUCCUAAGGUAGCGAAAUUCCUUGUCGGGUAAGUUCCGACCCGCACGAAAGGCGUAACGAUCUGGGCGCUGUCUCGGAGAGAGGCUCGGCGAAAUAGAAUUGUCUGUGAAGAUGCGGACUACGUGCACCCGGACAGAAAGACCCUAUGAAGCUUUACUGUAGCUUGGUAUUGUGCCCGGGCUCUGAAUGCGCAGGAUAGGUGGGAGGCUUUGAUCCAUGGCUUGCGGGUCAUGGUGAGCCAACGGUGAGAUACCACUCUUUCAGAGCUAGGGUUCUAACAGCCACCCGUUAUCCGGGGGCUGGACAGUAUCAGGUGGGCAGUUUGACUGGGGCGGUCGCCUCCUAAAAGGUAACGGAGGCGCGCAAAGGUUUGCUCAGGCUGGUUGGAAAUCAGCCGACGAGUGCAAAAGCAGAAGCAAGCUUGACUGUGAGACCAACAAGUCGAACAGGGACGAAAGUCGGCUUUAGUGAUCCGACGGUUCUGAGUGGAAGGGCCGUCGCUCAACGGAUAAAAGUUACUCUAAGGAUAACAGGCUGAUCUCCCCCAAGAGUUCACAUCGACGGAGAGGUUUGGCACCUCGAUGUCGGCUCAUCGCAACCUGGGGCUGAAGUCGGUCCCAAGGGUUGGGCUGUUCGCCCAUUAAAGCGGUACGCGAGCUGGGUUCAGAACGUCGUGAGACAGUUCGGUCCAUAUCCGGUGCAUGCGUAAGAACAUUGAGAGGAGUUCUCCCUAGUACGAGAGGACCGGGAGGAACGCACCUCUGGUGUACCAGUUAUCGUGCCAACGGUAAACGCUGGGUAGCCAUGUGCGGAGAGGAUAACCGCUGAAAGCAUCUAAGUGGGAAGCCCACCUCAAGAUGAGUGUUCUCAUGGCUUAAGCCAGUAAGGUCACGGGAAGAACACCCGUUGAUAGGCUCUACGUGGAAGCGCAGCAAUGUGUGAAGCGGAGGAGUACUAAUAGACCGAGGGCUUGACC
RNAcentral lists this ribosomal RNA (1350 nucleotides) under metagenome. Its description in RNAcentral is "bacterial LSU rRNA". It matches the Rfam family "Bacterial large subunit ribosomal RNA", at positions 1564 to 2925 of the family's 2925-position model. The record is from RNAcentral.